RNAcentral lists this ribosomal RNA (1214 nucleotides) under metagenome. RNAcentral's name for it is "bacterial SSU rRNA". It matches the Rfam family "Bacterial small subunit ribosomal RNA", at positions 223 to 1520 of the family's 1533-position model. The record is from RNAcentral.
GGAUGAGCCUGCGGCCUAUCAGGUUGUUGGUGUGGUAAAAGCGCACCAAGCCUAUGACGGGUACCUGGUCUGAGAGGAUGUACGGGCAGAGGGGCACUGAGACACGGGCCCCACUCCUACGGGAGGCAGCAAUUAGGAAUAGUUGACAAUGGGCGAAAGCCUGAUCACGCGACGCCGCGUGAAGGAUGACAGCCUUCGGGUUGUAAACUUCUGAAAAUAGCACCGGCUAACUACGUGCCAGCAGCAGCGGUCAUACGUAGGGUGCGAGCAUUAUCCGGAUUUACUGGGCGUAAAGAGUUCUGUAGGCGGUCUCGUCAGUCAGAGGUUAAAUCCCACGGCCUAACCGUGGAACUGCUUUUGAUACUGCGAGACUAGAGGAAGCUAGGGGGUAACGGAACCUAUGGUGGAGCAGUGAAAUGCGUUGAUAUCAUAGGGAACACCAAGGGGGUAGCCAGUUACCUGGGGCUUUUCUGACGCUGAGAGACGAAAGCUAGGGGAGCGAAACGGAUUAGAUACCCGUGUAGUCCUAGCUGUAAACGAUGCCUGCUAGAUGCCUGAUUUUUUUGGGUGUCGAAGCUAACGCGUUAAGCAGGCCGCCUGGGGAGUACGGCCGCAAGGCUAAAACUCAAAGGAAUUGGCGGGGACCCGCACAAGCGGUGGAGCAUGCUCUUUAAUUCGCUGAUAACCGAAGGACCUUACCCAGAUUUGACAUGUGGCUGCAAAUCCUCAGAAAUGAGGACCUCUUUCGAAGGUGUCACACAGGUGUUGCAUGGCUGUCGAAAGCUCGUACCGUGAGGCGUACCCUUAAGUGGGUUAACGAGCGCAACCCUUACUGUUAGUUGUAUCACUCUAACGGAACUGCCCGCGCAAGCGGGAGGAAGGUGGGGAUGACGUCAAGUCGGUAUUGCCUUUAUGUCUGGGGCCAGAAGCAUGCUACAAUGGCGCGUACAACGAGUCGCAACACGGCGACGUGAAGCUAAUCUCUAAAAACGCGUCUCAGUUCGGAUUGCAGGCUGCAACUCGCCUGCAUGAAGCCGGAAUCGCUAGUAAUCGCAGGUCAGCUAUACUGCGGUGAAUACGUUCUCGGGUCUUGCACACACCGCCCGUCGUCAGCAAAGCUAGGGCCGCCCGAAGUCCCAUUUACGUGGGCCCAAGGCAGAACUAGUGAUGAGGAUGAAGGCGUAACAAGGUAGCCGUAGGGGAAUCUGCGGCUG